GGGGGCGUAAAGGCUUCGACGGGGAUUUUGAAGUAUGGCAAGCGAGCAGAGGAAUCGGACCUCUAUAAAACCGAUAAUUGUGUUUAAAUAUAAACGCUAACAAUAAUUACGAACUUCAGGCUGCCUAAGUCAGCCUGCGUCUGACCGCUGAGUACCACGGCUGCGGCUCAGGCGUCGAUUAGUGGUGAACGACCGCAGGGAACGCUCUCGCCCUGCGGCUGUAUUGAGGGCUACCAAGCCUUGAAGCCUGUCUUUUGGCGUUAAGGCAAGGGAAUUUUAAACAAAAGACUGCGCUCGGAGAAAACUGUAUGGAUAGGUUUUCGGACAGGGGUUCAAUUCCCCUCGCCUCCACCA
This 354-nucleotide transfer-messenger RNA is filed under the name Oscillospiraceae. RNAcentral describes it as "RGIG4131 sp945788225 Standard tmRNA". It matches the Rfam family "transfer-messenger RNA". From Rfam's summary of the family: Bacterial tmRNA, also known as 10Sa RNA or SsrA, is named for its dual tRNA and mRNA-like properties. The record is from RNAcentral. RNAcentral also lists the same sequence under 1 other name. Lineage: Bacteria; Bacillati; Bacillota; Clostridia; Eubacteriales.